Molecule: long non-coding RNA, 663 nt
Organism: Bombus huntii
Lineage: Eukaryota; Metazoa; Arthropoda; Insecta; Hymenoptera; Apidae
Exons: 2
Source: RefSeq, a predicted model, not a curated record
UUGUCGGACAUUUAAAUUAUUGUCUUUUUUAUUUCUCAUGUAAUAGUUUUAACGUGUAGAAUCCAAAAAUACAAGUUUCUAGGAAUCUAGCGAUUCAAAAGUUAUGCAUACAUAAAACUGAGCAUUUUGAGUGUAUUUUAUAGGUCUCGAUAUUUGCAUAAAGAAAUCUAGAGGAAACCGUCCGAAAAUUGAGUUAUGAAAAAUCGUAAAAUCAUAAAUGCGUAACAUGCUAUGAAUGUUUCAGAAUAAGAGACUCUCUACUCAUCCAUUUGUCUCGCAAGAAAGAGAACUUUCUUAUCUUCCAUGUUAAUUUUUCAUGAUUCAAUUUCUGGACAGCAGAAUUUUCCUAAGCGAGUGUCGAGCUGUGUUUAUAGGUUACGUAUACAUAUACAUACGUAUAAUGUAUAAAAAUACAUAUAAUACAACCUUAUUAAUAUUAUUAUAAUAUAAGCGCAAUCUUAUUUUCAUCGAGUAAGAGCGAGUCAGGAAUAUGUAUGAAUGAAUAGAACCUGGUUGAUUAGAUAGAUUGUAUGCAGUUUGAUUAUUUGUAAAGGUAGAAGAGAGAUGCGAUAAAAAUUUGUAAUAUAUGCGAAAAAGUAAUUAGGUCAUUACACGAAAGUGGCGAUUGAUAUAUGAAUAAAAAAAUUACUGUUAAUUAUUUAA